This 253-nucleotide ribosomal RNA is filed under the name uncultured bacterium. Its description in RNAcentral is "partial 16S ribosomal RNA". It matches the Rfam family "Bacterial small subunit ribosomal RNA", at positions 524 to 776 of the family's 1533-position model. The record is from RNAcentral.
UACGUGGGGUGCGAGCGUUAAUCGGAAUUACUGGGCGUAAAGCGUGCGCAGGCGGUUUUGUAAGCCAGAUGUGAAAUCCCCGGGCUCAACCUGGGAAUGGCAUUUGGGACUGCAAGGCUGGAGUGUGGCAGAGGAGACUGGAAUUCCUGGUGUAGCAGUGAAAUGCGUAGAUAUCAGGAGGAAUACCGAUGGCGAAGGCAGGUCUCUGGGCUGACACUGACGCUCAUGCACGAAAGCGUGGGGAGCAAACAGG